Molecule: long non-coding RNA, 923 nt
Filed under: Setaria italica (foxtail millet)
Lineage: Eukaryota; Viridiplantae; Streptophyta; Magnoliopsida; Poales; Poaceae
Description: long non-coding RNA (SITA_LNC006382)
Source: RNAcentral
ACAAAAUCAUCUUCCUUUUAUUAUCUUUCGUUCAUUUCACAAAUGUUCCAACGAGCAUUACGUCAAACAAAUUUACAAGCACAUGAAAAUCAAUACUUUCUAUUUGUACAGAACAUUAGCAACCAUGACAUAAAAAGAAUGGAAAUGGAAAUUUUAAAUCGUACAAAAAGGUGGAAGGGAACAGAUCGCAUGUGGACUGAAUAAAAAAAUCAAACGAAGGGAAAAUUACAUUGCAAUCUUGUUAUUAAGAUUUUAUAAGCUCGACGCAGAGGAAAAUCACGUGAAAAUUCAUGCACAAGUUCUCAAUCUCAUGAAAAAUUACAGAACAUGCUGAUGAGAUGCUUGUCGCCGUCGCAUGAUUCGAGCUCCUCCUCCGUGCCUUCUUUGUCGAUGCUGAGCUGUUGGCCGCCAUGGGAGACAUGGAGGAGCUUACCACCGCCGACGAGGAAGGUUGGGGACGGCUGCCUUUCAUAGCAAAUCCAUAGGGUGGUGAGAGAAAGGAGGAGAGAGUACUUCACCCGGCCGUGGAGGAGCCAGGCCCGGUGGCUUCCCAUCUCCCAUGUGGGCUCCUCAACUUCCAACCUCCACCACGGAGCCCGUAGAUACAGCGAUGCCCGCCGCUACAGCUGAUGUCGAGGUCCACGCGGAGGAGCUCGCCCUCUUCGGAUCUAGGGUCAACUUCUCACGGGUGGCCAUAGUUGGCAGGUCGCGGGGCCUCGAGCUCCACCAUGAAGCUCAUCUCCACCAGAUCUAGCCGAGGACGACGCUGUGCGGGCUUCAACUCCACAGAUCCAACAACCUCCUCCAUGACGGAACGGAGAAGGCCAGGCUCUCCUUCACCGGAGGAGAGAGAUAGUAGCCAUGGGUGGGUGGAGAAGAAAAUGGAGAGAGGCUGUCGGUUGGGAACUGAGGCGGUCGUGUGG